UGCAAAAGUAAUCACAGUUUUU
This 22-nucleotide microRNA is filed under the name Homo sapiens (human). RNAcentral's name for it is "hsa-miR-548f-5p". Its record names the gene hsa-miR-548f-5p. Lineage: Eukaryota; Metazoa; Chordata; Mammalia; Primates; Hominidae. The record is from miRBase by way of RNAcentral.